UAAGAAAUCCCGUGAGAUUACACAUACCACCUCUAUGGGCCAAACACAACACAUGGGACUGGAAUAAAUUGCUCAAAGCAACAGAAAUUACCAUAGGCUAAGCAGCACUGAUUGCCAAGGAAACAGAGGAAAUAUUAAUUGGGAUUUACAGCUGUCCCUCGUGUCCCCCAAGGAGAUAAAAGGCAUUCAUUGUCCAGAUGUGAUAUGCUGACACAAGGAGCCUCCCAGAUGUGAUAUGAUGACACCAGGAGCCGCCAUCUGGCACAGAUGUGGUUUCACCACCACAGCAGUAACAUUCUCCAAAUGUCUAAAUGGGAACUAUCACAGAGUCCACAAGGAAAAGGCAUCUGUAUCCAUACCUUGGGAUAAAUUCUAAACACUAAAAAUCUCUCAUUCACUCAUCACUGGGAUCAUCUGGCCUGACUUUACCUCUCCUGAAGUAUUCAGUGGAAAAACACAAGUCUUAAAAAAAAGAAAAAGACCUUCCUAAGACUUUCAAUGGAAGUUUUGAGUUGGUCUGUCAACAGGAAGAGAUUUAACAAACAAAUAUGGAGUCUUUACCCUCAAGGAAAUUAUGACCCAGUAACUGGGAGAAUGAGUAAGUAUACAGCAACAAAGACUGUAAGACAACAACAGGACUCCCAUGGUCCUUUCAUAGACACCUUCUGCUUCCCCCUGCUUCCUGUAACCUCCCCAGUGCUCCUGUGUCCUGUGUUCCUGAGGACACCAUCAUGAUUGGGCUGGAGAUAGUCAGUCUGUUUGUCUAGUGUCAGAUGGAACUGAUAAAAUGACUGUGAACACUGAGGUAAUUUUUGGUUAGUCUGUUUGUUUGUUUAAUCUCACAUGGGACUUACAAACGAUGGUGAGGAUGGAAGUCAUUUUAAAAGCAUGCCUCUGGCCUUUCCUACUGACCUUCAAAGAGAUCACUAAAAAAUGCACCCAGAAUGGCAUUCUAAUUAACAUUCAGGAUCAUAUGCUUAGUAUCUCUCUGGGGGAGUCAUGAAUUUAAUUUUUUUCUGAAUAAAUAAAUAGCAAUAAAACCGCACAAAAACAAAACAGCUUUCCAAUGUUGCCCUGACCUGCUUAUUUUAGCCUUUUAAUUCCAUGUUAAACUAAGUAGUAAACAAACUUUUCUAAAGUUGCUUCCUCUCUCAUGACCAUCGCUGACGCAGACAUCGGCCAGGAGGGAGGCCUCCAAGGAUUACGCUGCAAGCAUUAGACGCAACUUGGCAGCCACUUGUAAACUCCAAAAAGGGUAAAUCAAGUAUCAGCAAGCAGUUGCAAAGCUGAAUUGCUUCCUCUCUCCCAGUUUCUCACAAGACGAUCCGACUCCAGCUUCCCCUCUCCCAACAGCAGCCGGCUCUGAAGGAAGUCUGCUCUCUCUCACUGGCUUCUAUUUAGGACCAACUGCUUAUAUUAUUUUCCUCAAGCCUAUUAAUAACUUA
This is a long non-coding RNA of Mesocricetus auratus (golden hamster), 1445 nucleotides long. RefSeq lists it as uncharacterized. The transcript is spliced from 4 exons. Lineage: Eukaryota; Metazoa; Chordata; Mammalia; Rodentia; Cricetidae. The record is from RefSeq and is a predicted model, not a curated record.